RNAcentral lists this long non-coding RNA (348 nucleotides) under Citrus x clementina. RNAcentral describes it as "Citrus clementina (C. clementina) long non-coding RNA (CCLE_LNC002578)". Lineage: Eukaryota; Viridiplantae; Streptophyta; Magnoliopsida; Sapindales; Rutaceae. The record is from RNAcentral.
AUAUUUAUUAUAGAAGUUUAAUUAAAGUUAAUUAUUGAGUUGUUGUAACGAAGGGUAUAACAUAAAAAAGGGGUUUGUAUGAUCAUUUAUGAAUUUAAGGGGAUUUGUGUGACCAUUUAACCAAAUCUUCAGAGUGUGGGUGGCUUUUCCCCUAUUAGAAACGAAAUUAUUUCAAGUUAUUUGUGAUUUUAAUUUCACGUGCUUCUUGCCACGUGUGUGGGAGAGAAUUAAUAUGGAAGAGAGCUAACCACUUGUUCAGUUAAGGCUCCAUUUGGUACAACUUUUCAAGUAUAGUUUAUUUAAGUAAAAUUUUUAUUAGUAGAGCUUUUAUAAAUAGAGAUUUUACUA